AAGAUCUCCUCCUCCGGCCGGCGGGAGGGCGCGCGUGCGUGGGGGUCUCGCAACAAAUGGACGGGCGGAUGCGGAGGGAGGGGGGCGUCGGGGUGUCGGUCGGCGAGUCUCCACGCCUUAAUGCGGGUUAGGUGGAUCACGGGGCGGUGGCGUCGCGCCGCUUUACGCCACCGUCCCCCCCGCACGGCCGGCGCGUCAGGUCAGUCAGCGACGACGACGAACCACACCGCCCGCCAUGCCGGCUCGCGUGCGGCGCCUGGGGGCGGGGUGGGGUGGGGUGAGCGGGCCUUCGUGGUUGUUCGGUUAUUCCCCCCGAUGGGGAACGAAGAUAAUUGAGGGCGAAUAAUUUCACAUUAGAUGUAAAAUAAAUCUCUUUUUAAUCAUUUAUGAUUGGGAUUAACCGAACAAGAUCUUAGUGGGGAGAUCAGUGGAUUCAGCGGUGUUAGCUGACAGGGUUUGCAAGACCGCGAAGACUUCCGAAGCGCCGUCCAGUGUAGCGAUUAAGAUUAUCGUGGUUUUUAUACGGUUUCGUGUGGUUUUGUUCCACGAUAAUCAUGAUUAUCACGAACCGCGGCGAUUCGGAUAACGGUUUGACGAACCAAGUAACCGCUCGAUUCGUAAUUGCAACCCGUGGUGAGAGUCACCAAUUGGCUAUAUAUAUAUGAUAGGUUAGUUAUAAAGGAUUUAAUAGUUUUUCUAUCUCUUUCUCCC
RNAcentral lists this long non-coding RNA (711 nucleotides) under Oryza brachyantha (malo sina). Its description in RNAcentral is "long non-coding RNA (OBRA_LNC000724)". Lineage: Eukaryota; Viridiplantae; Streptophyta; Magnoliopsida; Poales; Poaceae. The record is from RNAcentral.